CUUAGGCGUGUGACUGCGUACCUUUUGUAUAAUGGGUCAGCGACUUAUAUUCUGUAGCAAGGUUAACCGAAUAGGGGAGCCGAAGGGAAACCGAGUCUUAACUGGGCGUUAAGUUGCAGGGUAUAGACCCGAAACCCGGUGAUCUAGCCAUGGGCAGGUUGAAGGUUGGGUAACACUAACUGGAGGACCGAACCGACUAAUGUUGAAAAAUUAGCGGAUGACUUGUGGCUGGGGGUGAAAGGCCAAUCAAACCGGGAGAUAGCUGGUUCUCCCCGAAAGCUAUUUAGGUAGCGCCUCGUGAAUUCAUCUCCGGGGGUAGAGCACUGUUUCGGCAAGGGGGUCAUCCCGACUUACCAACCCGAUGCAAACUGCGAAUACCGGAGAAUGUUAUCACGGGAGACACACGGCGGGUGCUAACGUCCGUCGUGAAGAGGGAAACAACCCAGACCGCCAGCUAAGGUCCCAAAGUCAUGGUUAAGUGGGAAACGAUGUGGGAAGGCCCAGACAGCCAGGAUGUUGGCUUAGAAGCAGCCAUCAUUUAAAGAAAGCGUAAUAGCUCACUGGUCGAGUCGGCCUGCGCGGAAGAUGUAACGGGGCUAAACCAUGCACCGAAGCUGCGGCAGCGACGCUUAUGCGUUGUUGGGUA
This 646-nucleotide ribosomal RNA is filed under the name Escherichia coli. Its description in RNAcentral is "partial 23S ribosomal RNA". It matches the Rfam family "Bacterial large subunit ribosomal RNA", at positions 584 to 1230 of the family's 2925-position model. The record is from RNAcentral. Lineage: Bacteria; Pseudomonadati; Pseudomonadota; Gammaproteobacteria; Enterobacterales; Enterobacteriaceae.